CCUACGGGAGGCAGCAGUGGGGAAUUUUGGACAAUGGGGGCAACCCUGAUCCAGCCAUUCCGCGUGAGUGAAGAAGGCCUUCGGGUUGUAAAGCUCUUUCGCAAGGGAAGAAAACUUAUGAUCGAAUAAAUCAUGAGGUUGACGGUACCUUGAUAAGAAGCACCGGCUAACUACGUGCCAGCAGCCGCGGUAAUACGUAGGGUGCGAGCGUUAAUCGGAAUUACUGGGCGUAAAGCGUGCGCAGGCGGUUUUGUAAGUCGGAUGUGAAAUCCCCGGGCUCAACCUGGGAACUGCGUUCGAAACUGCAAGGCUAGAGUGUGUCAGAGGGGGGUAGAAUUCCACGUGUAGCAGUGAAAUGCGUAGAGAUGUGGAGGAAUACCAAUGGCGAAGGCAGCCCCCUGGGAUAACACUGACGCUCAUGCACGAAAGCGUGGGGAGCAAACAGGAUUAGAUACCCUGGUAGUCCACGCCCUAAACGAUGUCAACUAGUUGUUGGUAGAGUAAAAUCUAUGAGUAACGUAGCUAACGCGUGAAGUUGACCGCCUGGGGAAGUCGGUCGCAAAGGAUUAAAAACUUCAAAAGUAGUUAAGUUACGGACGGCGNGGAGAGCGACGACGACGACGACGGAGGAGGAGG
Molecule: ribosomal RNA, 636 nt
Filed under: uncultured bacterium
Lineage: Bacteria
Description: bacterial SSU rRNA
Rfam family: Bacterial small subunit ribosomal RNA
Source: RNAcentral